Molecule: ribosomal RNA, 544 nt
Filed under: Bifidobacterium breve
Lineage: Bacteria; Bacillati; Actinomycetota; Actinomycetes; Bifidobacteriales; Bifidobacteriaceae
Description: bacterial SSU rRNA
Rfam family: Bacterial small subunit ribosomal RNA
Source: RNAcentral
GGGUGGUAAUGCCGGAUGCUCCAUCACACCGCAUGGUGUGUUGGGAAAGCCUUUGCGGCAUGGGAUGGGGUCGCGUCCUAUCAGCUUGAUGGCGGGGUAACGGCCCACCAUGGCUUCGACGGGUAGCCGGCCUGAGAGGGCGACCGGCCACAUUGGGACUGAGAUACGGCCCAGACUCCUACGGGAGGCAGCAGUGGGGAAUAUUGCACAAUGGGCGCAAGCCUGAUGCAGCGACGCCGCGUGAGGGAUGGAGGCCUUCGGGUUGUAAACCUCUUUUGUUAGGGAGCAAGGCACUUUGUGUUGAGUGUACCUUUCGAAUAAGCACCGGCUAACUACGUGCCAGCAGCCGCGGUAAUACGUAGGGUGCAAGCGUUAUCCGGAAUUAUUGGGCGUAAAGGGCUCGUAGGCGGUUCGUCGCGUCCGGUGUGAAAGUCCAUCGCUUAACGGUGGAUCCGCGCCGGGUACGGGCGGGCUUGAGUGCGGUAGGGGAGACUGGAAUUCCCGGUGUAACGGUGGAAUGUGUAGAUUCGAAAAAAAAAACCCC